RNAcentral lists this long non-coding RNA (317 nucleotides) under Felis catus (domestic cat). RNAcentral's name for it is "lncRNA (ENSFCAG00000048536.1)". Lineage: Eukaryota; Metazoa; Chordata; Mammalia; Carnivora; Felidae. The record is from RNAcentral.
UGAGACCACUGCUCUAGAAAAAGCUCUGCUACCCCUGAAGUACUCCGACCUGAAUUCAUUUCCUGACACUUGUUCAUUUGACAGACGCAGGCCGCAACCAGAUCUGAGUGCCCCAGCCACCAAAGCUUGUUACCGAAACAGAAAGAAGAGGCAAGAGCCAAGCUGUAAAAUGGAGAACAAGGCAGGCUUUUGAAUAGGAAGAGAUCGUGAGGCCCCCCAGGCAGCUGCAAGGCUAACCUCCAAAGUCAAGAUCAGUUAAAAUGGUAUUUGAUUUUCUAGGUUGAAUGGGAAACUUCAACCAAAUAAAAACUAUCUUC